GAUGUCGCGGGUGAGUGGUGUCGAGGCCUGUUGGGUCAGGGCGGUUCGCAGGUGCUGUCAGAGCUGGGCGGGGCAGCCGGGUCGUAGAGGCGGGCGCCAGUCGCGGUCGGUGGAGAGGGAUGAGGAUGUAGGAGGGACGGACGUGGCGGAAGCCGCGGGGACUGCGGGGGCGGAGUGCCUCUGGGGAGCCAGGGAGGCCUUUCCAGAGGCUCCUGGGGGAAGAAGAGGCGAAGCGAGAGUCCCCGGGGAAGCCCUACUCCACCCCCAGCCGGAGCCUGGGUUGUGCCUGCACGGACCAGAGCCCACAGUGCGAGUUGCUGUAGGCAACCAGCUAGGGUGGCCAACUUCUCCCGGUUGGCCCGAGAUGUUCUGGUUUUGGGACCACAGCGUCCCAGGCCUCCAGCCCACCACAGUGACCAUAUUGUGCGCCCCCUGCCCAUCUUCUCCCGCAGCUUCCCUAGAUUAGGCUUGGGAGGCAAGGGGAGGCCUCCUGACUUUUCUCACUGCCUUCGUUAAUAUAAAGAUGAAGGCACACUCCACAACUUCCUUCUGGCCAGGCCCAGACAUGUCUGUCCUUGUGAGAUAAAAGCUUCCAUGGGAGCCUUCCUUCCUAAUCAAGUCUCGUGGUGGAACAUCUGACCCUUUUCAAGAGGAAGGAUGAAAACUCUACAUAGGAACACGAUGUGAAUGGAAGAAACCUGUCAUUAUGCAAAUAGUACGGUAUUCCGAACAGACACUAAAAAUAGCUGUCAUCUCAAAGAAUCCAGUGCUUGUGUCACAGUAUGAGAAAGUAGAUGCUGGGGAACAGCGUUUAAUGAAUGAAGCAUUCCAGCCAGCCAGUGAUCUCUUUGGACCUUGCAUUCUCCAUCAGAUUGGAUCACCUCCCACCCUGAGGCCCCCCAAGACUUUGAACAGUUCUUCAGUCAUCCUUACAGAAAGAUACCCUCUCCAGACAAACGCAGUAUUUAUAUACGGUCCAUUGGAUCUCUAUGAAGCACCAGAAUUAUCAGUGAAGAAUAUAUUAAAUGGCUCACGGGCUACUGUAAAGCAUAUUUCUAUCGCUUGAGAGUAAAACUGCUAGAACCAGUUCCUGUUUCUACAACAAGGUGUUCCUUUAGAGUCAAUGAGAACACACAAAACCUACAAAUUCAUGCAGGGGACAUCCUGAAGUUCUUGAAAAAGAAGAAACCUGAAGAUGCCUUCUGUGUUGUGGGAAUAACAAUGAUUGAUCUUUACCCAAGAGACUUGUGGAAUUUUGUCUUUGGACAGGCCUCUUUGACAGAUGGCACUGGUGAGGUGGAUUGAUGAUGAAUCUUCUGGCACACCUGGAGCAACUCCAGAACACAGUCGUGAGGAUAAUGGGAAUUUACUGAAACCCGUGGAAGGAAGCCUUUAAGGAAUGGAAAGAGUGGAUAAUAAAAUGCCUGACUGUUCUCCAAAAAUAAGGACCUUCAAAUAGGAGUGAUUGAAAUAAAUGACUACUUGCAUGUUAUGCUUUCAUUUGGGUGGAAUACUUCAUCAGAAUAAACUAUUGAUCUUGUGCUGUGUCAAAGUAACAGACUAGAACCUUCUUUCAAGUACCUGAAUUGAAAUGAAACUCAUUUUGAAUAAUAAAAACUCUAGAAACUCUU
Homo sapiens (human) is the source of this 1631-nucleotide long non-coding RNA. Ensembl annotates it as AMZ2 pseudogene 1. Its record names the gene AMZ2P1. The record is from Ensembl. Lineage: Eukaryota; Metazoa; Chordata; Mammalia; Primates; Hominidae.